GCGGGGGUAGCUAAGUCUGGUCAAAAGCGCUGGAUUUAGGGUCCAGUCCUGAAGGGGUUCGUGAGUUCGAAUCUCACUCCCCGCA
Molecule: transfer RNA, 85 nt
Filed under: Thermoplasmata archaeon
Lineage: Archaea; Methanobacteriati; Thermoplasmatota; Thermoplasmata
Description: tRNA-Leu
Rfam family: tRNA
About the family: Transfer RNA (tRNA) molecules are approximately 80 nucleotides in length. Their secondary structure includes four short double-helical elements and three loops (D, anti-codon, and T loops).
Source: RNAcentral